GGCUUCGUGGCUCAGCUGGUAGAGCACAUGUCAUAUAUGGGCCAUUGUCACUGGUUGGAAUCCAGCCGAAGUCC
Paragonimus skrjabini miyazakii is the source of this 74-nucleotide non-coding RNA. Lineage: Eukaryota; Metazoa; Platyhelminthes; Trematoda; Plagiorchiida; Troglotrematidae. The record is from the annotation of a GenBank genome assembly.